CUCUCAAAAGGUAGUUUAUUUAAAAUGUCGGUUUUGGGGACCGGUGAUGGGGCUUAUGAUGUCUCCCUUUUGA
This 73-nucleotide transfer RNA is filed under the name Uta stansburiana. RNAcentral's name for it is "tRNA-Pro". Lineage: Eukaryota; Metazoa; Chordata; Lepidosauria; Squamata; Phrynosomatidae. The record is from RNAcentral.